AUACGUAGGGUGCGAGCGUUGUCCGGAAUUACUGGGCGUAAAGAGCUCGUAGGUGGUUUGUCGCGUCGUCUGUGAAAUUCCGGGGCUUAACUCCGGGCGUGCAGGCGAUACGGGCAUAACUUGAGUACUGUAGGGGAGACUGGAAUUCCUGGUGUAGCGGUGAAAUGCGCAGAUAUCAGGAGGAACACCGGUGGCGAAGGCGGGUCUCUGGGCAGUAACUGACGCUGAGGAGCGAAAGCAUGGGUAGCGAACAGGAUUAGAUACCCUGGUAGUCCAUGCCGUAAACGGUGGGCGCUAGGUGUAGGGGUCUUCCACGACUUCUGUGCCGUAGCUAACGCAUUAAGCGCCCCGCCUGGGGAGUACGGCCGCAAGGCUAAAAUUCAAAGGAAUUGACGGGG
This 398-nucleotide ribosomal RNA is filed under the name uncultured bacterium. RNAcentral describes it as "partial 16S ribosomal RNA". It matches the Rfam family "Bacterial small subunit ribosomal RNA", at positions 523 to 918 of the family's 1533-position model. The record is from RNAcentral.